This 529-nucleotide ribosomal RNA is filed under the name Bacillus sp. EGU43. RNAcentral describes it as "bacterial SSU rRNA". It matches the Rfam family "Bacterial small subunit ribosomal RNA", at positions 55 to 564 of the family's 1533-position model. The record is from RNAcentral. Lineage: Bacteria; Bacillati; Bacillota; Bacilli; Caryophanales; Bacillaceae.
AUGCAGUCGAGCGAAUGGAUUAAGAGCUUGCUCUUAUGAAGUUAGCGGCGGCACGGGUGAGUAACACGUGGGUAACCUGCCCAUAAGACUGGGAUAACUCCGGGAAACCGGGGCUAAUACCGGAUAACAUUUUGAACCGCAUGGUUCGAAAUUGAAAGGCGGCUUCGGCUGUCACUUAUGGAUGGACCCGCGUCGCAUUAGCUAGUUGGUGAGGUAACGGCUCACCAAGGCAACGAUGCGUAGCCGACCUGAGAGGGUGAUCGGCCACACUGGGACUGAGACACGGCCCAGACUCCUACGGGAGGCAGCAGUAGGGAAUCUUCCGCAAUGGACGAAAGUCUGACGGAGCAACGCCGCGUGAGUGAUGAAGGCUUUCGGGUCGUAAAACUCUGUUGUUAGGGAAGAACAAGUGCUAGUUGAAUAAGCUGGCACCUUGACGGUACCUAACCAGAACGCCACGGCUAACUACGUGCCAGCAGCCGCGGUAAUACGUAGGUGGCAAGCGUUAUCCGGAAUUAUUGGGCGUAAA